Molecule: long non-coding RNA, 2797 nt
Filed under: Canis lupus familiaris (dog)
Lineage: Eukaryota; Metazoa; Chordata; Mammalia; Carnivora; Canidae
Description: lncRNA (ENSCAFG00030001779.1)
Source: RNAcentral
AUGGAUGGUGGAGUAGGAGUCCCAGAAACCACCCUGCCCAGGGAGCCCAGGGAGCCCAGGGACUGUUCCACCAGUCCCUCUCGCAAGGUGAUUGGUCCAGACCUAGACUCAGGGGCUGGUGCAAAGGGAAGGCAGCAAAGCAGGAGGGAGGAGACACUGGAGUGUGGUGGCCCAGGGCACCCAGACCUGUGGAAAAGGGCGGGGAGGGCGGAGAGGCGCGGCCGGGCUUCCUCGCCGGGACCCCGCGGGCCUCUGCGCGGAGGGCGGAGCGGGAGGGGGGCCCGGCGAAGGCGGGAGAGGGCGAGCCGGAGGGGAGCACGGGGAGGCCGGGAAGGGCGUCACUGCUCGCUUUCCGCUUCAGGAGCGGGCGGCAGAGGCGGCGGGGCGGAGCGGGCGGCGGCGACGGGGUUCGCAGCGGUCCUCGCCUCCACUCCUCCGUGGGCCGCGCGGAGGGAGCGCGGGCGCGGCCGGCUGCACCCACCCGGGCCGGAGGGCAGGGCGCGGGGGGGGGUGCUGCGCGGGGGGCUCCGCGGGCUGGGCGGCCGCGCGUCUCCCGGACACUAGGGCUCCGGCUGCACCCACCCGGGCCGGAGGGCAGGGCGCGGGGGGGGGGGGCGCGGGGGGGCUCCGCGGGCUGGGCGGCCGCGCGUCUCCCGGACACUAGGGCUCCGGCUGCACCCACCCGGGCCGGAGGGCAGGGCGCGGGGUGGGGGGGGGCGCGGGGGGGCUCCGCGGGCUGGGCGGCCGCGCGUCUCCCGGACACUAGGGCUCCGGCUGCACCCACCCGGGCCGGAGGGCAGGGCGCGGGGGGGGGGCGCGGGGGGGCUCCGCGGGCUGGGCGGCCGCGCGUCUCCCGGACACUAGGGCUCCGGCUGCACCCACCCGGGCCGGAGGGCAGGGCGCGGGUGGGGGGGGGCGCGGGGGGGCUCCGCGGGCUGGGCGGCCGCGCGUCUCCCGGACACUAGGGCUCCGGCUGCACCCACCCGGGCCGGAGGGCAGGGCGCGGGGGGGGGGCGCGGGGGGGCUCCGCGGGCUGGGCGGCCGCGCGUCUCCCGGACACUAGGGCUCCGGCUGCACCCACCCGGGCCGGAGGGCAGGGCGCGGGGGGGGGGGGGCGCGGGGGGGCUCCGCGGGCUGGGCGGCCGCGCGUCUCCCGGACACUAGGGCUCCGGCUGCACCCACCCGGGCCGGAGGGCAGGGCGCGGGGGGCGGGCGCUGCGCGGGGGGGCUCCGCGGGCUGGGCGGCCGCGCGUCUCCCGGACACUAGGGCUCCGGCUGCACCCACCCGGGCCGGAGGGCAGGGCGCGGGGGGGGGUGCUGCGCGGGGGGCUCCGCGGGCUGGGCGGCCGCGCGUCUCCCGGACACUAGGGCUCCGGCUGCACCCACCCGGGCCGGAGGGCAGGGCGCGGGGGGGGGGGCGCGGGGGGGCUCCGCGGGCUGGGCGGCCGCGCCGUCUCCCGGACACUAGGGCUCCGGCUGCACCCACCCGGGCCGGAGAGGCAGGGCGCGGGGUGGGGGGGGGCGCGGGGGGGCUCCGCGGGCUGGGCGGCCGCGCGUCUCCCGGACACUUGGGUUCCGGCUGCACCCACCCGGGCCGGAGGGCAGGGCGCGGGGGGCGGGCGCUGCGCGGGGGGCUCCGCGGGCUGGGCGGCCGCGCGUCUCCCGGACACUAGGGCUCCGGCUGCACCCACCCGGGCCGGAGGGCAGGGCGCGGGGGGGGGGGUGCUGCGCGGGGGGCUCCGCGGGCUGGGCGGCCGCGCGUCUCCCGGACACUAGGGCUCCGGCUGCACCCACCCAGGCCGGAGGGCAGGGCGCGGGGGGGGGGGCGGGCGGGGGGCUCCGCGGGCUGGGCGGCCGCGCGUCUCCCGGACACUAGGGCUCCGGCUGCACCCACCCAGGCCGGAGGGCAGGGCGCGGGGGGGGGGUGCUGCGCGGGGGGGCUCCGCGGGCUGGGCGGCCGCGCGUCUCCCGGACACUAGGGCUCCGGCUGCACCCACCCGGGCCGGAGGGCAGGGCGCGGGGGGGGGGGCGCGGGGGGGGCUCCGCGGGCUGGGCGGCCGCGCGUCUCCAGGACACUAGGGCUCCGGCUGCACCCACCCGGGCCGGAGGGCAGGGCGGGGGGGGGGGCGCGGGGGGGCUCCGCGGGCUGGGCGGCCGCGCGUCUCCCGGACACUAGGGCUCCGGCUGCACCCACCCGGGCCGGAGGGCAGGGCGCGGGGUGGGGGGGGGCGCGGGGGGGCUCCGCGGGCUGGGCGGCCGCGCGUCUCCCGGACACUUGGGUUCCGGCUGCACCCACCCGGGCCGGAGGGCAGGGCGCGGGGGGCGGGCGCUGCGCGGGGGGCUCCGCGGGCUGGGGCGGCCGCGCGUCUCCCGGACACUUGGGCUCCGGCUGCACCACCCGGGCCGGAGGGCGGGGCGCGGGGGGGGGCUGCGCUGGGGUGCUCCGCGGGCUGGGCUGCCGCGCGUCUCCCGGACACUAGGGCUCCGGCUGCACCCACCCGGGUCGGAGGGCAGGGCGCGGGGGCGGGGGGCGCUGCGCGGGGGGCUCCGCGGGCUGGGCGGCCGCGCGUCUCCCGGACUCUAGGGCUCCGGCUGCCAUCGGGCCGCGGCCGGGACGGAGCUCCCUGCGCUCCCCCGGGGGCCUCGGCGGCGCGGCCCCGCAGCUCCACGCACGCGGCGAUGCGGGCGCGGAGGGGCGGGCGGGCGGGGGCGCGAGGCUGCCGCCAGCCGCCCGGAGCCGCUGUCCACUGCUGAAGCGCCGGCCGCCGGCGCCGCGCUGCCCGCCUGGAGCGACUCU